GUAUAAGGCCAUAACACCCUGAAUGAGCCCAAUCCCCUCUGACCUCAGAAGCUAAGUAGGGUCAGAUCUGGUUAGGUCUUGGACAGGAAAAAUGAUGCGACUUGUUUU
RNAcentral lists this ribosomal RNA (108 nucleotides) under Cavia porcellus (domestic guinea pig). Lineage: Eukaryota; Metazoa; Chordata; Mammalia; Rodentia; Caviidae. The record is from RNAcentral.